UUUCCCGCUGUUCAACGGUAGUCAAUCGUGAUUCGAGAUUGACAUCGUCGACUGUUGACGGGCCAGGCCAGUGCUGCUGCAGCAGCAGGUGCAUCACGGAGUAAGAGGUAUAUCGACUUCGAAACCUGUAUAUUGAGGCUGGCACGGGCGACAAAAUAUCAGACUUCUCUGGUGUGAUACAAGUCGUAAAAUGGAUCCAAGGGGCCCUCCUGAGGGGGCCCCUGCCGAGUCUUUCGAGAUAUCCAGCAUCGAUAAGGGAGCUGAUACCUCGGUGAAUUGGCCUAUUGAUCACGCUUUUGCUUCAUCCUUGUGCGAACAAUCGAAGAAACUAAACAACAGGCUUUUGUUUUUGACGGUGGAAUAUGUGGAGGAUCAAUCCCGCUUAUUUCCAACAUACGAACAGAUUUCUCUUUCUCCAAGGGCAGCCUCACCUCUGUCCGAGUUCGAGCAUCGUGUCAGUCCGCUUGAUCCAAACAUGAGUUCUGCCGCUAGGUACUCCCCCACACCAGUCCAACUACCUUCUUCUCCUUUCCACAACUCUGUUGUUGUGCUUCAAGGUCCGUCCUCUCCUUUAAUAUCCCAGCCUGAACCAAAUAUAAGAACGAGCAUCAAUUAUGUGACUCAACUGGCACAUCCAAUCGAUGCUCAAGUUGUACCUCAAACAGAUGCUACUACAGACUUUGUUGGCAAUGGAAAUGAAGAAGGCUUGGUGUCGAGUGUCAGUAGCGAAUUGAUUUUAAUGCAAGAAACUACACCUGAAUUGGAAUCUUCAGCAACUCCCUUAAUGCUAACAGGAAUACCGGGUACAGAUUUUGCUUUGACUAGAGAUUUCUUGGUCAUGCAAGAUGAUCAAAUAAAUGUUAUCAAUACAUUUAAAAAUCAAAAUAUGGAGAUAGAACAUAGUCAUGUUCCUUUACCAUCUGUAAUAGAAGAUGCAAACAAAGAAAAUAACAAUCUUAUUUUGCCAGAAUGUGAUAAAGAAAUUCAACAAAUUACUAGAAAUGUAUCGCCCAGUGAAAAGAAGAAAUCAAUUGAGAAAAAAGAUGUAAGAAGAUCAAAGCGACACAUAACAGAUAAAAAAGAUUUGUGGUGCGACGAAUAUGACAAUAAUUGCACCAAAGAUGACAGCUGUAAUUUGAAUGAUGUAUGCACAAUCGCAGAUCAACCAGUACCAUCACGUGCUGUAGCAACACUGCCAGGAUCAUAUCUUUCAUUAAACAAGUUAUCUACUUCAGAAGCUACAGUGGAUGGCGUAACCUAUGGAGUCUUUGCAAAACGUAAUAUUCGGAAGCGCACGCAAUUUGGACCUAUAGAAGGUGUAUUGUGUCCGUACGACGGCUCGCCCUUUAAAAAUGCUUUACCAUUACUUUACGAAACUGAGACUGGUGAAUUAUUGAAAGUAGAUGUUUCGAACGAAAAUACUUCAAACUGGAUGCGUUUUGUGCGGCCUGCCCUAACAUAUAAAGAGCAAAAUUUAAUCAUUUGCCAACAGAAGGAUGGAAUAGUGUUUCUGACCAACAGAAACAUUUCGCCGAAAGAAGAAUUAAAAGCAGGUCCUAGUAACGAUUAUGCUAGUCGCAGAAAUUUGCCAAUACAUAAACCAGAUGACAAAGAAGCUUCUAAUCAAAUUUCCAUAUGGCCGCGUUUGGAUGGCAGUUACAAUAAUCGACGCGUAAAAAUGUUUCGCGGCAGAAACAUGAAAGAAAAAGAAAAUUCACGGCAGAAUAAUAAGUGUAAUAAGGAAUGGAAAUGUUCUGUGUGUAAUCUGAUUUUCAGAAAACCGUCUCUGCUUAACUUACACACAAUUAUUCAUUCUUCCAACGACAUCAAAAUUGAAAAUCAAACGUCCGCAUGUCCACAGUGUGGACUGGAAUUCCAAAAGCAAAGCGAAUUGGUAAAUCAUGUAUCUCAACAUGGACGAUUGGCACUACCCAAAACGAAAAGAUUAACUCCUUUAAGUACAUACAAGUGUUCAAUGUGUUAUAAACGUUUUGCUACAAAGAUACGUUUACAACAGCAUUGCUUGGCACAUGGUGCUGAGGACCAAAAACCACUGCCAUGCAGUAUCUGCUUGAAACGGUUUAUGAAUAAUUCUGCGUUGUCUGGUCACCUGAAAACACAUAAAGAAAAUAAACAAGUCUUUGAGUGCCCAAUGUGCAGGCAGCUAUUUCGCCAAGGUACAAUGCUGAAGGAUCAUGUUGAGACACACAGAAAUCAAGACGGUAUAUUCAGUUGCCCCCACUGCCAGCGAACAUUCAUCAAGUAUUCAGUUAUUCGCAAACACAUUCGGGCACAUCACUGCGAGAGGAAACACAAAUGUCAGCAUUGUGCAAAACGUUUUCCGACAGUUGAUAAAUUACGAAUGCAUUUACUGAAACAUUCUGAUCAUAGAGAAUUCCAUUGUGCCAAUUGUGGUAAGCGAUUCAAGAGAAAAGACAAAUUGAAGGAGCAUAUGACUAAAAUACAUCACUCUCAAACAGUUAAUGGAGACCAAACGAUACAGAACAAUCAAGCGAAGAAAUUUGUGCCAAAGGUAAAUCCGAAUGAUUACAAUCGCUUUAUUUACAAAUGUCAUCAAUGCCUGGUGGGUUUCAAACGAAGGGGAAUGCUGGUAAAUCAUCUAGCAAAACGGCAUCCUGACGUCGCACCAGAAUCUGUGCCAGAAUUGAACUUGCCUAUUCUGCGGCAAACCAGAGAUUAUUACUGCCAGUAUUGCGACAAGGUUUAUAAAAGUAGCAGUAAGCGUAAGGCGCAUAUUAUGAAGAAUCAUCCAGGUGCGGCCUUGCCACCUAGUAAUCGACAAAAGGAAUCGGAAUUUUCGGGACUGCCGAAUCCGAGUUUUAGCCAAACAGUGGGCAGUGUUACAACUAGCCCUCAAGGUUGUCAGUGGUGUCACAAACAGUAUGCCAGCAAGGCGAAACUCUUGCAACAUCAACGCAAGAAACAUGCCCAUUUAAUGGAGCCGGCGGAUCAAAUACCGCGAUCGCGGAACCGGCCACCGCAAAAUCAAAAUCAACCACCCGCGCUGAACGAUAACAACUUUGUAAUAUCUGAUUACAUACAAGGAUGUGACGUAAACGGAGAUUUUCUCAAGCAAAAAAUAAUCAAAAUCACGAACGACGUUGAUCUGAUAGGCAAUAGUGGUCUGGAAAUGGUUGGCCAGCAAUUUGUGCGUAUGCGCGACAUACGUUGAGGAGAAGCGCGGCAUCCUCGAUACGAGGAUGAGCGUCGCCAAUUUAUCGAGAUAUGAAUCUCGCGAUCUUUGUAUGCAGCCGAGGUAGGCUGUUUUUUUUGCCGCCGUUCCCAAAUCGGGAUCGUUGUUGCCCGAUGAUGAAGCGGCGAGGCAUGUCGCCCGAAAAUAUUUUGGGCUUUGUUGGCGCCGGUGCGAAACACUCGGCGCUGUUUUGUUGGUUGUACGUUAGUCGGUUGACAUUGACGACGGUAACGUGGAUGAUAAAUAGCAGAUUUGUUGGAAAGAGCACGCAGUUUUAAGAAUACCGAGCCUCUCGGAAAAAAAACUGCCUAAAAACGUUGACUGGAAACCAAUGAGGCUCGAGUGUACUUGCGAUGGAGAACAUUGUAGUCUCACACAAUUGUUGAGAGAUUUCUUCUUGAAAUAUUAAAAAUAUCAUAAGGAAAAAAAAGAGAAAAAAAAGGUAGAACAAGUCCUGGUACUAUCGACACGUCCUUUACACUAGGCCUGGUAGUUUUACUUUUAAAAUCUUAUACCAAGCUUAUAAAAUCCGAUGUGAUUCGAGUGUGAAUUAGAUGGACCAAAUUUAAGCGUCAAGUUUAAGAAAAUGUUUAAGCCCGGCUUAAAUUUGGCAGCGGACGAGACCACUGCGUCUUAGAUCAGCGUGAUUUUGUUCCGUACGAUGGUGAUUGUGCGGACGAAUAAUAUUAAAAAUCAUUGUUCGCAACGUAUUUGGCUUCAUUAACGGCGUGCGAUUGUCUGUAGAUUACGUGAAAACUUGCAAGAACUCUGAAAAACUCUGCAAGAAAUCGUCCAUUUCACUUUUGCUCUUUCUCUCUCUCGUAAUUCCAAGAUUUCGUCGUAUUACAUCCACAUUCUCAUUUUAGAAUAAUGUAUAAGUAAAAUGCCUUUAGAUCUCUUCACCGGAACAUACUAUUUUCACGUAAUCAUUUCGUAUUCGCCAAUCUCAUCCACAUAUGAAUCUAGCGUCACAGUCUGAGAGCCUGUUUGAGAAUGGCCGGCUCGAGAUGUCUGGUUUAAAUCAACGCACGGUACUGUAGUUACGUAGCCAAGGAAAUCUUCGUCCUCGUGAUUUUACGAGCAACAGAAGUAACGUACGUGUAUUUUAAGCUGUGUAUACCUGGCCACGCGUUACGCACACGUAAGCACACUACAGAAAUUUCUAACGAUUGUUCAAGAUUGUGUAUUCCGCAACGUCUGAGUUCGGAUAAUUGUGUCUUUUCAUACAUCCUGUGGUAAACCUAUUUGGUUGAUGUAUGUCGCAAAUAAAACUCGCACGAACGAUUUUCACACUCGGAAAAAUUUAUCCAUGAGAAACAACGUUAAAUUUUAUUUUACACACGGUGUAUACACACGACAUACAUUAUCGCAAUUACAAAGAGACAGAAGAUUGUAUGUUUGUCGAUGUCGUUGAGUACAUGGAGGACUGUACUGUAAACAUGACUUAAAUAAAGUUAUUCGAUGAGCGAUAUGACGAAUCGUUUAUUAUAAUUACGUUAACAUCUAUGAACUCUGCGACACCGUAAAAUUGAAGCAUUAGCAAAUACUUGAUAUCGACAAGUUUCUUAUCAGA
This 4787-nucleotide unclassified non-coding RNA is filed under the name Camponotus floridanus (Florida carpenter ant). RNAcentral's name for it is "pR domain zinc finger protein 10, transcript variant X1". The record is from RNAcentral. Lineage: Eukaryota; Metazoa; Arthropoda; Insecta; Hymenoptera; Formicidae.